GGUGUAGCUCAAUGGUAGAACCUAUGCUUUGCAUGCAGAAGGUCCCAGGUUUGGUUCCCGGCAUCGCUA
Non-coding RNA from Podarcis lilfordi (Lilford's wall lizard), 69 nucleotides. Lineage: Eukaryota; Metazoa; Chordata; Lepidosauria; Squamata; Lacertidae. The record is from the annotation of a GenBank genome assembly.